RNAcentral lists this ribosomal RNA (377 nucleotides) under uncultured bacterium. RNAcentral's name for it is "bacterial SSU rRNA". It matches the Rfam family "Bacterial small subunit ribosomal RNA", at positions 28 to 412 of the family's 1533-position model. The record is from RNAcentral.
GACGAACGCUGGCGGCGGGCUUAACACAUGCAAGUCGAACGAACGCCUUCGGGCGUUAGUGGCGCACGGGUGAGUAACACGUAGGCAAUCUACCCUCGGCUGGGGAAUAACCAGGGGAAACCCUGGCUAAUACCGCAUAACAUCUGGACGUCGCCUGGCGACCAGAUCAAAGCUUUAUGUGGCCGAGGAUGAGCCUGCGUCGGAUUAGCUAGUUGGUGGGGUAACGGCCUACCAAGGCGACGAUCCGUAGCGGGUCGUGAGAGGAUGAUCCGCCACACUGGCACUGAGACACGGGCCAGACUCCUACGGGAGGCAGCAGUGAGGAAUAUUGCGCAAUGGACGAAAGUCUGACGCAGCCACGCCGCGUGCAGGAAGAC